AGUAAGCGCGAGUCAUCAGCUCGCGUUGACUACGUCCCUGCCUUUGUACACACCGCCGUCGCUCCUACCGAUUGAAUGAUCCGGUGAAGUGUUCGGAUCGGGGCGACGUGGGCGGUUCGCUGCCCGCGACGUCGGCGAGAAGGUCCACUGGAACCUUAUCAUUUAGAGGAAGGAGAAGUCGUAACAAGGUUUCCGGUAGGUGAACCUGCGGAAGGAUCAUUG
RNAcentral lists this non-coding RNA (222 nucleotides) under Ipomoea nil (Japanese morning glory). RNAcentral describes it as "Eukaryotic small subunit ribosomal RNA". It matches the Rfam family "Eukaryotic small subunit ribosomal RNA", at positions 1616 to 1831 of the family's 1831-position model. Lineage: Eukaryota; Viridiplantae; Streptophyta; Magnoliopsida; Solanales; Convolvulaceae. The record is from Rfam by way of RNAcentral.